GACGAACGCUGGCGGCGUGCUUAACACAUGCGAGUCGAACGAAGAGCGAUGGAAGCUUGCUUCUAUCAAUCUUAGUGGCGCACGGGUGAGUAACGCGUAAUCAACCUGCCCUUCAGAGGGGGACAACAGUUGGAAACGACUGCUAAUACCGCAUACGAUCUAAUCUCGGCAUCGAGGAUAGAUUAAAGGUUGCCUCUACAUGUAAGCUAUCACUGAAGGAGGGGAUUGCGUCGGAUUAGCUAGUUGGAGGGGUAACGGCCCACCAAGGCGAUGAUCAGUAGCCGGUCUGAGAGGAUGAACGGCCAAAUUGGGACUGAGACACGGCCCAGACUCCUAAGGGGGGCAGCAGUGGGGAAUCUUCCGCAAUGGACGAAAGUCUGACGGAGCAACGCCGCGUGAGGGAUGACGGCCUUCGGGUUGUAAAGCUCUGUUAAUCGGGACGAAAGGCCUUCUUGCGAAUAGUGAGAAGGAUUGACGGUACCGGAAUAGAAAGCCACGGCUAACUACGUG
This 510-nucleotide ribosomal RNA is filed under the name uncultured bacterium. RNAcentral's name for it is "partial 16S ribosomal RNA". It matches the Rfam family "Bacterial small subunit ribosomal RNA", at positions 28 to 507 of the family's 1533-position model. The record is from RNAcentral.